Molecule: long non-coding RNA, 919 nt
Organism: Cyprinus carpio (common carp)
Lineage: Eukaryota; Metazoa; Chordata; Actinopteri; Cypriniformes; Cyprinidae
Source: Ensembl
CAGAAGGCAGAAGUGAAAGAGAGGGUGGAGAUUGCAUGAGAUGAACCUAUGGGCACACUGACGAAGUCACGACUGAUUGUGUGUUUUAAUGUGAGCAAGUGUGGCAGCACUUAUGUUAGUUGGAUUUGUGAUUAAACGCUUAGAAAUGAAGCUCUCCUGCCCUCUGAUCUGUGGGAUCAUUUUGUCCUGGAUUUGCUUCAGAGUUUCAAGUGAGAAUCUGUCUGUGAUUCAGAGUCCAUCCAGUGUGUGUGUUUAUGCUUUUCUCACAGUUUCAAGUGAGAAUCUGUCUGUGACUCAGAUUCCACCCAACAUCACUGUGAAUGAAGGAGAAUCUGCUCAAAUCAGCUGCUGCUGGAAUGAAACCAUACAGAAUGUUAAAGUUGCUUGGUACAUCAAUGAGAAAAAACAAAAGCAGGAUCUCCAAGAACAUAAAACACAGAACUGUGCAAUUCUGAACCUCACAAACAUACUUAAAAAUGCUUCAGGUCAUUAUGUUUGUGAAGUGACUCAAGACAUACCAGUCCUGCUUCAGGAGAAUGGUAGUGGAACAGUCAUAACUGUCAAUUACAUACUAGUAGAAACAACAACAACUGUCAGUGUUCACACACUUUUCAACCCAGCAGCUGAAAGUCAGGAGUCAGGAGAAAAAACGGAUGAAGACCUGGAGGCCGGAGAGACACAGAGGAGUGAAACUGAAGUAGCGAAACAGGGUGAGAAUGUUUCUGAACAGGAGAAAAGGAGGGUCAACAACCAGAAACCUGAAGUUACUACUGCAGCAACAGAAGAAGAAAAAGAAAAUGAAGAAAAACAGAUUGAUGUAGUUGUAGACACUGAACAAGGUACAUCUCCAAUGCGUGACGAUGAAAAAAACAAGACUGAAUCUGUUCUGAACACUGAUGAAAAGACAUCUAAUGACUGA